AAUGGGCCCGAAACCGGGUGACCUACCCAUGGUCAGGUUGAAGUGGAAGUAAAAUUCCAUGGAGGACCGAACCGACCUCCGUUGAAAAGGCGGCGGAUGAACUGUGGGUAGCGGAGAAAUUCCAAUCGAACCCGGAGAUAGCUGGUUCUCCCCGAAAUAGUUUUAGGACUAGCCUCAAGUUAGAUACCUGGAGGUAAAGCACUGAAUAGCCUAGCGGCCGAGAGGUUAGCGAAGCUUAUCAAACUCAGAAUGCCAGAGUAUUGAUGCUUGGGAGUCAGACAGUGUCAGAUAAAUGUCAUUGUCAAAAGGGAAACAGCCCAGAUCUACAGCUAAGGUCCCAAAGUCAGGUUAAGUGGAAAACGAUGUGAAGAUACGCAGACAACCAGGAUGUUGGCUCAGAAGCAGCCACUCAUUCAAAGAGUGCGUAAUAGCUCACUGGUCGAGCGUCUUUGCGCGGAGAAUUUAACGGGGCUAAACCUGACACCGAAGCUUAGGCAAUGUAGUAAUACAUUGGGUAGGGGAGCGUUGUAUACGCGGUGAAACAGUAGCGCAAGCGGCUGUGGAGUGUAUAGAAGUGAGAAUGCCGGAAUGAGUAGCGCGAAUGCAGUGAGAAUCUGCAUGGCCGAAAGCCUCAGGUUUCUGGAGGAAGGUUCGUCCGCUCCAGGUUAGUCGGGAGCUAAGGUGAGGCCUAACGGCGUAGCCGAUGCACAGACGGUAGAGAUUCCGUCACCACCAAAAGAGUUAAACACAGGGACACAUUUGAAGUCUCGGAGCCGGGUGUUGGUUCCGGUAGCGAUCGAGGGAAAUUAGUACCGAAGUCCGGGAUGGAAGAUGGCGAGAAAAGCUGUGUGUAUUUCUGCGGUGCCCGUACCGCAAACCGACACAGGUAGGUAGGAAGAAGAUUCUAAGGCCAACGGGAGAAGGGUUGUUAAGGAACUCGGCAAAUUGACCCCGUAACUUCGGGAGAAGGGGUGCUCCAGAGAUGGAGCCGCAGAGAAUCGGCCCAAGCAACUGUUUACCAAAAACACAGGUUUGUGCUAAAUCGAAAGAUGACGUAUACGAGCUGACGCCUGCCCGGUGCUGGAAGGUUAAGAGGAGAUGUGCAAGCAUUGAAUCGAAGCCCCAGUGAACGGCGGCCGUAACUAUAACGGUCCUAAGGUAGCGAAAUUCCUUGUCAGGUAAGUUCUGACCCGCAUGAAAGGCGUAAUGAUUUGGGCACUGUCUCAACAGCCCGCCCGGCGAAAUUGUAGUACCGGUGAAGAUGCCGGUUACCCGCGACAAGACGGAAAGACCCCAUGGAGCUUUACUGUAGCCUAAUAUUGGGUUUCGAUGUUGCAUGCACAGGAUAGAUGGGACACUGGGAAGUGAUCGCUUUGGCGGUCAUGGAGUGGCCGUUGGGAUACCAUCCUUGCGAUAUUGGAAUUCUAACCUGCGCCUUUGAAUCAAGGCGGGGGACAUUGUUAGGUGGGCAGUUUGACUGGGGCGGUCGCCUCCUAAAGAGUAACGGAGGCGUUCAAAGGUUCGCUCAGCUUGAACGGAAAUCAAGCAAAAGAGUGCAAACGCAGAAGCGAGCCUAACUGCGAGACUGACGGGUCGAGCAGUAACGAAAGUUGGAGUUAGUGAUCCGGUGGUAUGUGAGUGGAAAUGCCAUCGCUCAACGGAUAAAAGUUACCCUGGGGAUAACAGGCUGAUCUCCCCCAAGAGUCCACAUCGACGGGGAGGUUUGGCACCUCGAUGUCGGCUCAUCGCAUCCUGGGGCUGUAUUCGGUCCCAAGGGUUUGGCUGUUCGCCAAUUAAAGCGGUACGCGAGCUGGGUUCAGAACGUCGUGAGACAGUUCGGUCCCUAUCUGUCGUGGGCGCAGGAUAUUUGAUGGGAGCUGUUCCUAGUACGAGAGGACCGGAGCGGACGUACCUCUGGCGCACCAGUUGUUCUGCCAAGAGCAUAGCUGGGCAACUAUGUACGGAUCGGAUAAACGCUGAAAGCAUCUAAGCGUGAAGCCGACCCAAAGAUAAGAUAUCCCA
This 2022-nucleotide ribosomal RNA is filed under the name metagenome. RNAcentral's name for it is "bacterial LSU rRNA". It matches the Rfam family "Bacterial large subunit ribosomal RNA", at positions 708 to 2816 of the family's 2925-position model. The record is from RNAcentral.